Ctenopharyngodon idella (grass carp) is the source of this 2626-nucleotide long non-coding RNA. RefSeq lists it as uncharacterized. NCBI's taxonomy places the organism in Eukaryota, Metazoa, Chordata, Actinopteri, Cypriniformes, Xenocyprididae. The transcript is spliced from 2 exons. The record is from RefSeq and is a predicted model, not a curated record.
GUGUUUAUGUAUUAGAUAUUAGUUUUGUGUGUUAGAAUAAUCAAAGUCUCGUUUGUAUUUAAAGAGAAGUGUUCUUGUGUUAUGUGCUUACGAAUUUAAUGUCUUAAACUGCUGAUCUUGUUAAGGGAGACAACAACCAAUAAAACACAGAACUAUAACACAUUCAUUAUACAGAAUAAUGGACAUUACCAUAUGAGUGGGGGAAAAAACAGAGUUGAGGGCACCUUGAUGUGUUUUAAAAAAUAUAAUCUUAUGAUAAGAAACAAGGGACAAAGAUGGAAGAACAUUUAAAAUGUCUAAUAUUUUCAUCACAUAUACGAGAACUGCAGUCUGUCAUGUCUAGUUUUGGUUUUGUUUCAUAUUCAUGUUUCAUGUCUUAUUUUGUGGUUUUCACAGUUAUUUUAUGUUGCCAUGUGCUCCUUUUUGUCAUGAGAUUCCCUUGUGCUCAAGUGUUCAUGUCAGUGCUUGUUUAAUCUCUGUGUAUAUAUUGACCUCAGUCUCUGGUCUAGUAGUCAGAGUUGGUGAGUGCCAUGUUCCUGUUUACAGCCAAGUCCAAGGUAAGUCAAGUCAUUGUUUCUUUUGCGGUCCGUGCAGAAACCGCUCUCAUGCGUGCUCCGUGUUCUUACAUAUUAAGUAUUGUUACAGUGAUAUUUUCUAUGUAUUUGUAGUUAAACAGCAGCUGUAAAUGCAUCGUGGGGAAAACGCAACUUUUGUGUUACUGAGGAAACAUACACUUGUAUAUGCCUAAAGGACAACGCCGCAGUUGAACAGGCAAGCAUGUGUCAUUUGAACUCUGCUGUAAUGUCAUCUCUUGGAUUAAGAGUUCAUUCUCAUGAAUAAUGAGAAUUAAUGAGCUCUUUGUCAUGAAUAAAUGCAGAGAAGUGCUCAGAAAUGGUUGACAUCAGCUCAUUCAUCCAGCCCCUACUGGAUCCCCGGCAGCCAAUCACCACUCCGGAUCUUGCCGUCAUAAGGGUGUCAUGGAGGAACUGCUGCCUCGCUCCCUCCUAUUUCUGUCCAGAUGCCAAGCUCUCAACUGGAGUGGGAUUUGGAAGAAGGAUCCUCAGCCCCUGGAACAGCUGAGCCAACUAUACCAGAUGACAGAUGGGCCGACCCCUUCCGAUAUCUUUUUUACCCACUUGUCACUGUUCUCCUCACUAACACUGGCGCCACCUUUGACUGCACUCUUUAUCCAUGACCACUUUAUUACCUUUAUUUAUGUUAUGUUUGCACUUAAAAAUGUAAAAAAAAACCUCUUCAAUUGAUGAUGCAAUCACCAUCAUGUGUCUGUCUUUGCUUUGAGUCACACAAUUCUAUCAUUAGAUAGUUAGCCUAUCUCCUUAUAGGUGGGGUAUGUAUUUUUUCAACAACACUGUUUGGAAGUUAGUCGGGCUGACAUCAACAACAAACGUCUAACCAAUCAGCAUUAGGGGGUGUAUGACGGUCAAGGAGACAGAAUGAGCAAUAGGGAGAUUUGAAAGAAAAAAAAAAGAAUAUUAGUUAAUAUUAGAAAAGCUUUCCAGCGCUGGAGAGAGCUAAGCGGGAAGGCCUGAAAACAGACAUGGAGGAUGCUUUGAUCCCGCUUCGCACGUGAGUAAAACUGAGUUUGAGUGUCAUUGAUUGAUUGUCUGGAGCUGCUGUGCUGUUGGCGACUAACAACAAACACUUGUUUGUAUUUUCUCUUGUGUAUUGUACGUUCAUUUUUUGUGCUUUCUUGACGUUCGUUCAUCAUCUGCACUUUAUUUUUCGUGAAGCAUUUUGUUGCACAUCAGCUGUGAUAAACAGACAUCCACUCUCGCAUUGCGUGUGUAACAGUGGCCAGAUAGUGAGAGUUGCUGCGCACUCACAACCGCUAGAGAAUGCGGUGUUUGGCGUCAUUGUCAGUGCACUCGCCUCGCCUGCCAGAAGCAAACGGGCCGGGGCUCAAGACCGGGUGGGUUUGUUUGGGUUGAGUUCAAAUAUCAACAAUGUCCAACAGCUUUGUUGAAAAAAUGCAUACCCCACCUUUAAGUAGCUUUAGUGUACAUAGCUACUUUAUUUAAUAGCUUCUAGCAUACCUAUCGUAAUUACGUUUUCAUAUGAGUAGCUUGACUGUAGUUGAACUACUUUUGUGUUGUGUGAAUUAUGUAUGUAUUUCAUGUACUGAAGCUAGUUUUAGUGUUAGCUUUCCCAACACUGAUAGUAUCUUGCAAUGAACUCUCGUCCUUCAAAAGCACUUGACAAAAAACACAAGCUGAAGCCGAAGCUCCAACAGUCAACAGUCAUGUUGAUCUUACUGUAUAAUAGUAUUAUAAUAUUCCAUCAUCAAUACUGAGGACAUUAAUACUGUGUACUUUAUAUAUACUGUGUACUUAUUGCCAAGACUUUGUAUUUGUUUUCUGUUGGAUCUACUGUUUAUUAUUAUUUUAUUUCUGUUUGAUCUGUUUAUUAUCUCCCCUGUUCAGUUGCAGACCAGGCCUGGGACAUUUUCAGACAGAAGGGCUAGAGACUUUUUUUAUUAAUAGCAUCACUGGCCACUCAAUAAAUACUCUGGCAUUUCAGUCAUAUUGUAUAUCCCCUGAAUAUUGCUGUAUGUGAAAGAGUUUCAUUUUAUGCUCUUCUAUAAAACACAAUUCACUGAUACACAAGA